CGCGUAGGCGGGCCGCCAAGUCCGGGUGAAAGCCCCCAGCUUAACUGGGGAAGUGCCUCGGAUACUGGCGAUCUCGAGGAUGGUAGGGGCAUCUGGAACAGCCGGUGGAGCGGUGAAAUGCGUUGAUAUCGGCUGGAACUCCGAUGGCGAAGGCAAGGUGCUGGACCAUUUCUGACGCUGAGGCGCGAAAGCCAGGGAGCAACG
Molecule: ribosomal RNA, 204 nt
Filed under: uncultured bacterium
Lineage: Bacteria
Description: partial 16S ribosomal RNA
Rfam family: Bacterial small subunit ribosomal RNA
Source: RNAcentral